AUGGAGGAUUCUCGCCUGAGUUCCCUCCAUCCAAACCUCCAGGUGGUUCUCCGCGCAGCCCACAAGCCUGCUACGACUAAGGCCUACGCCUACAAGAUCUCUCAAUUUCGUACCUUCCUUCGGUCCAGAAACAUCAACUCUAUCCCAACCCCGAUACCGGUGGUUCUGGACUUCCUCCUUACCCUUUUAGAGCAAAAGCUGUCUCUGGCCUCUAUGAAAUCCUAUCUAGCUGCCCUGUCUUGCUGUUUUCAGCAUCAUGGCCAGCCUUCCCUGUUUGCGGACCAUCUCAUAAAAACCUUUUUGAGGGGCUACAAUAACCUCUGCCCACCGACGCAGCCACCAAUACCUGGUUGGAGCCUCGAGCUCAUGUUGUCCCAACUCACGUCCUCCCCUUCCAAACCGCUGGCCUCAGUAGACCUCCAUUUGCUUUCAUGGAAGGUAGCUUUCUUGGUUGCAGCCUCUGAACUGGCGGCUCUUAGAGUGGACAAACCUUAUCUUCGCUUCCACCACAAUCGAGCUGUCCUCCGUCUGGACAUCACCUUUCUUCCUAAGGUGGUCUCUGCUUUUCACCUUAACCAAGACAUUGUGCUCUCGGCCUUCUUUCCUAACCCUUUGUCUCCACUGGAACGGAGACUUCACCUACUAGACGUUAGGAGAGCUCUUCAUUUUUAUAGGGAUUGGACUAGAGCAACACGCAAGACACCGAGACUCUUUGUUGCUUAUGCCCCGGACAAACUGGGUAACCCAGUUUUCUCCCAGAGGCUCUCCCACUGGAUUGCGCAAGCCAUUGAACUUGCUUACCAGCUGGCUAAGCGCCCUCCUCCUCCAUCAGUCCGCCCGAGAUCAAUGAGGGGCCUCUCUACCUCAACUGCCUUUCUCAUGGGCAUUCUUCUCAACUCUAUAUGCAAGGCAGAGAUCUGGUCAAACCCCUUAACGUUUGUCUCCCACUAUAGAGUGGACUCUAAGGCCCAAAGGAUUCAGCCUUCGCCAGAUCGGUCUUGUCUUCCUGCCUGUCUUAAGGGGCCCUGUUCCCCUUACGGAGCACUUACCCUCUGGUUAAAAAAAGAAAAAAAAGGAGAAACAAAAAUCACACCAGGUGUUGUUACUGGUUUAAAAUGUUUUAUUUCUGUUCCACGUUUUGAGGUUUACGAGAGUAUUCUGUAA
RNAcentral lists this long non-coding RNA (1164 nucleotides) under Anolis carolinensis (green anole). RNAcentral's name for it is "lncRNA (ENSACAG00000041246.1)". The record is from RNAcentral. Lineage: Eukaryota; Metazoa; Chordata; Lepidosauria; Squamata; Anolidae.